AUGUUGCAAGCACAAAAGAAGGGCCAUAACACGAGGGUACGCAUGCUGAAAGUCAAAGAGAUCAACGACCGAUGGACGAUGGUGGAGCGAGCCUUCACCAACCAAGAGUGGCUCGGAGGGAGACCGUGGUCCAAACAUAUGAUUUAUGCCUCGUCGGACCAGGACGACUGGUGGGGUACCAAAGCCUUCCCCGGCAUCGUCUCGGCCAUCGUGAACGCGCAGAAGCUCAACACGUCGGAAUCUUGGCGGCUGUUGCGGCAUGAGAUUUACAUGGGUGCAAGGACCUUAUUUGUUAUGAAAUGGCAUAUUGUUAUUCGUAUGUGUAUUAUUGACUUGCCAAAUUCUUGA
Molecule: ribosomal RNA, 348 nt
Filed under: Triticum aestivum (bread wheat)
Lineage: Eukaryota; Viridiplantae; Streptophyta; Magnoliopsida; Poales; Poaceae
Description: partial small subunit ribosomal RNA
Source: RNAcentral